RNAcentral lists this long non-coding RNA (4639 nucleotides) under Phoenix dactylifera (date palm). Its description in RNAcentral is "long non-coding RNA (PDAC_LNC001918)". Lineage: Eukaryota; Viridiplantae; Streptophyta; Magnoliopsida; Arecales; Arecaceae. The record is from RNAcentral.
UCCGUUGGAAUACCUGAUCUCUGAUUGCCAUGUCCAAGAAGUUGUAACAAAGCAAUGAAGUUCUUGUUUCAGUUCCCUUGUUGCUCGUGCUUCUGCUUCAUGAAGACCAAAAAGAGAAAGCCCAAGAAGAAGGAAGGCAAGGGCGAUUGAAAGAAUGUAAGUCUUUGCUUAUGUUCGGCUGUACUGUACAAUAAUGUAAAUGGCUGUCCAUACCUGCGUUUGAGGCUCUCUUGGCAGUAAUCAUCAAUUGUGGCUAUCUGUUUAGCUGAAGUGUAAAAAAUGGCAUGAUAUCUUCUUUUCAAUAAUGAUGCUUUACUUGUUAGUUUCUUUCGUCUUUCUCGAUCACUUCCUUGUUGAGAAUACCAUCUCCUCCAUUCGUUGUUCAGCUGAUUCCAGACCAAUCUGUGCAAGAAAGCUGCCAAAAACAAAGAUCAUUAAAGGUAAGGGAACAUUACAAAAAAGUUUUUAUCUACUGCACAGGUUUAUCCAGUCCGGAAUUACGGAUAGUUUCUGAAGAAAAUUCAGUUUAUCCAUGUGAUCCACUGAAAAAGGAAAGAAUAGGUUUUAAUCUCCAAUUACAAAGGUGCAUCUCAAUUAAAUAAUUCAGAUUCUUCCAGAGGAAGAAGGUUUGCAUAAAUAUGAAGCAGAAAACCUGGCCUCUAUGAAAGGCAGAGGAAGUAAAGUAUUACUGAACAGAGUGAAGAGUGUCAACUGUAAUUAUAUAGUCCAAGAUGCAGAGAGUACAAGGAGGUUUCCAGUAAAGCUAAUGAUCGAUAUAUCUCUUCAAGCAACGAAUAGUAAGUUCAAGCAGUUUGCUUUCAAGAAAGAUCAAAUACAAGUCAUCCAAGACCAGUUACCAUGAUCAUCCAUCCUGUAUCCUUUAAAUUCUGCAAUUUAACCACAGGUCUAUUGAUCCACAAUGCACCUUAAGCCUUUCUUUAGAAGAAGAUUAGCGACCUAAACUGAAGAAGGAUAUUGACAGAUCAUUUAUUGAAGUAUGGAUACAGGAUUAUCAUAACUUCUUCCUAUGAAGAAAUCCUAACACAGACUAGCUCCAUGUCAAUUACUUAGCAAAGAAAACACAAAUGAUAGCACUUUGUGACCAGAAAGUGAAGUCAUUUGCAUCUAACAUAUAGAGCCUAGUAAAUGCAGGCUUCCACUGUUGUUACCAAAUGCAGGUUAUUGCUUGAUUUCUCAGGACACACACACACAACAAAAAAAAAAAAGCAGAGAGAGAAGAGAGAGAGAGCAGAUGAUUUGGUAAAAAAAUUCUGCACACCAGAGUUAAAAUUAUGUACACUUAAUUUGAAGGAAGAAUUAGUUAAUUUUAAGGGAGAAAUACAUCUGCAUGAAUCCAGAAGCUUCACAAACCUGCGGUCAUGAACAGUACACCAUGCUGUCUCUGAUCAUUCCGCAUGAGAGAAAAUAUUUAAUCAUAGCCUCAAGCACUUUUUUGUACAAGUACUGUGUGGUCACGGAGCAGAAAGUGUUUAAUCUCGAGUUAGAUUAGGCUACAUGAAGUAGAUUUAGAAUGAUUUGAAAAAUCUUAAUCCACUUAAAAGAUAAUGGCUAACAGGCACAACAAUGCCUCCAAAACACAAAACAUUUGAAGGCAUAGAAAAGAUAGAUGGUAAUAAUUAUCCUAAGUUGCAGGGAUCAAUGUGUAACAUUAUUUUACAUUUAAUCACAAUUGAAAUGUAAAUUUUUCUUUCUUGUAUAUAAUACAAAGAAUUCUGUUAAUAUUUCUUCGACACUCUCCUCAGUCAGCCACUUUGUGAUAGAUGCAAACAGACCCAAGUCAUUCUUAAGCAUAUAUACAACUAUCACAAAAAAAAAGGGUGCAAAUUAUGAUGAUUCUUAAUUCAUCUUCUAAUUCCUUUUUUUCUAUGAUCAUUUUGUAUAUAGGUAAGCUACUAUUUUAAUCAAAAUAAUAAUUCCCCCCCCUUAGAAAGGGAGCCUGUUAACCCCACUUCACCCUUAGCUUCAACUAACGAAACAACAGAAAGGUGAUGAAGCCUUUCCCUAAGGGAGAGCAAUGGGGAAGAUUGACCAUGGGAAGACAACAGCAAGUUCAUAAAAAAAAUUAUGUAGGUAAAUGAUUUUAAUAUAAGAUGCAUUGCUUUGACUACGGAGAGCAAUGGAGAAGAUUGAGCACCAUGGGAGUACAACAGCAAGUUCAUAAAAAAAAAAAUUAUGUAGGUAAAUCCCUUUAAUAUAAGGCGCAUUGCUUUGACUACGGAGAGGUGAUCGUGAGUGAAGUAGAGAAGUUUCUUUAACCAGUUAGUUCCUCUAGAUAUCUACCUCUACGGUUAUGAAUUUUAUCUUAUUUUUUUUAGGUAUGAUGUGUGAGGACUCGUGAGGGCGUAUGUUUAAUCCCACAUUGGUUAUUUGCUGGAUAGAUCUUGGAUACUUGUACAGAAUCAAGGAAUCCAAAUAAUACCUUCCCGUUGGCCAUUUUGGGUGAGAUUCUGAGUUGUUACAAAUGGUAUCAGAGCGGACCUGUCCCAUAACCUAUGUGGACUGGGGGACACUACAGUAUAGAUUCAUUGGGAUUGACCACGGGCCGAUUAUGAUAUUUGUGAUUAGAUUUGAAUGAAUUUGAACCUUUAGCCUGACGAGAAUGUCAGGGCUUGAACGGAAAAAGUAUGGGAGGACCCGUGCGGGCGUGUGUUUAGUGCUAUAUCGGUUAUUUACUAGAUAGAUCUUCGAUACGCAUACAGGAUCAAGGAACCCAAAUAAUAUUUUUUGGCUGGCCAUUUUGGGUGAGGUCCUACGUUGUUACAUGACGUUAAGAAGUUUCUUUAAUUAUUUUGUCAUUUUAAACAUCAGCACCAAUCUCUUGGUCAAAAUUUUCUCUCCAAUGAAGCAUCACAAACGCAAACUGAAAUGGUACUGCUCAAAAGUUCUGUUGCUACAUUGCAUUUUAAAUUAAUUUCUGAAAUAUUUUAGGUAUAGUAGAGCCACCAAUAUUCCAUUUUUUUAAAAGAAAAUCCAGGGUCCAUAUGAAUGAAUAUAUGUGGCACUGCUCAAAGUCAUCUUGGUUAAUAACCUAAAAGAAUCUAAAAUACAAGGCAGGUUUUACACACCAGUUUGCUUCACUUAGGUUUCCUCUCUUAUUUUCUUGAAAUAUGAGGUUAAGAAGUGUUUUAAAUAUUUUAUUUUAAACAUAACAACAAAUAGCCGGCCAAAAUUUUCUCUCCAAUGAAGCAUAAUAUAUGCAGAGCGAAAAAAUACUACUGCGCGAUAUUUGGAUAAUGGUGAGAGAGGAAGUUACAUUUUAGGCUAUGCAUGUAUAUCGUGAAGCUAACAGUGCGGCCGACUGGAUGGUGACAUAUGUAGCAUGCCACUCAGGAGGCACCCUAAGGACUGGGGAGGGAGAGAUGCCCAGAGCACUUCGGGACCUUUCGUUUUCCGAUUCUAUUGGGUGUAUUCAUACCCGUGAUGUAUGAAAUGUCUAUUUUAGUAUUAAAAAAAAAAUCUAUUGCUAUACUGCGCUUUUGAUUUCUCACUUGAUGAAAAACCGGGCCAAUAUUUUUUAAGGAGAAAAAGAUGUUGCUGUUAUGCUUCCGUUUAAAGUUAUAUGACCUUCUACGCAGGCUUUUUGAUGGUUGUCUGUAAAUGUUAUUAAAAUUAGUAUUGAUGUUGUUUAAGAAAAGGCGAUUUGAUUUUGAGUUUUUAUUUUUUUAAAAAAUAACAAAAUGCAUGAACAUAUGAGUCCAAUUUUGGAUAGCUUGUGAGCUUGAUUUGGCAAUCUGUUAAAAAAAUAAGGAAGUGGGCUGCGUGUGUGUGACAACUUGGAAACGGCCUAUGAGUUUAACUACCAAGUUGUAAAAAAUUCUAUUCAAGUCUUGUGCACCGUACCAGUUAUGUAAUCCAAGAGAGUUUCAGUUCAAUAAAAAAUUAUGAGAUCUUAUCCGUUCAAAAUUCUUUGAAUGUGUCCCCUUUAAAGUUUUUCCACAUUCUUCUCCAAAGCAAACUAUAGUUCAGGAAUAAAAAAGGAUACACGCUUUGUUGAGAACCAUUACAUUGCAUUGGUGCAUAACCAAACUAUAAUAUGUUUUAGGAUAAAGAAAUCAUGCACAAAAACAUAUGGUUUUCUUCUUAAACAUGAUGCAUCUGUGCAAAUAAAGGAUGGUACUGAAGUUAUUCAAGCCUGGUCACGUAAAUGCUAGCACUAAGCAUUGGAACAAAAUGGCAUUAGGCAAAAUACUUCAGAUUUGAAUCCUCACUUAUUAUUACAUAUUAAAUUUUUUGUUUGCUUGUCAUGCAUGAUCCACUAGAGCCAUAUAUAUCAAAAUGUUCCUUUGUUCCAUCUUUAUUAUAAAUAUGACAGUUCAGGAAGUGCAUAAAUUGCCUAUAUAAUUGGAACUAGUUUGGUAUAUGCACUGUAAGAAAAGCUAACAAUAAUAUUUUCAUAAUACAGGGAAGCAUAGAAAAAAGGAUAAAGUUGUACCAUGCAUGCUUCUUCCCUUAAGGUAAAUGGGUCUUAGUUUAUAUAAUUUAUCUUUAUAAACUGAUUUUUCCAAGCUAUCUUUUUUGUUGAUGUUUUAUAAUAUUUAUAUGUAUUUCUAUUUGCUGGAAGGAAACCAAGUUGUAAUAAAGAGCUCCAAAAUGCUUCAGCUUGAUGUGGCAUUAGGUA